UCCACCAGGUUUUUGUAGUUUUUUAAAUGUCGGCAGCUUCAGAGUUCCUACUGCCGGUGCGAAUGCAACUACGAAAAUGGCCGGGGGAGGAAAUUAGUUCUUGGGAGCUAUCCUAGUGGCUAGUUCCUAUAACUGAGUUCUUAGAACUACCCGGUGCGAACGCCUCUUAUGUGAAGAUCAGAAGCUCUAGAACAGCUCCAGUGUGUUUGGUGCUGCUGUGUGUUCUUCUGCUGACUGCAGUCAUAGUGCUGUGUGUCAAGUUCACUCAAGAGAGAAAGCAGCUCAUUAUCAUGAAUGAGAAUCUGACUAGAGAGAGUUAGACCAGCUUAAAUGGGAUAAACAUGAUCUUCAGAUGAGUCUUGGUGAAAUGGGUGAGUUUCUUUGGAUAUUUUAGUAGUUGCUACAUUGCAGGAAUAUGAUCUGGUUAGUAUUCAUAGGUAUUUGUAUGUAAAUGUUAGGAUCAUUAAUAACCACUUUAUGGAAUUCAUAGAUGAUUUUAGGUGUGUAGGUACAAUCCCUAUGAAUACUAAUGAGAUUGUGUUCAUAGCUUACACUUUUUAAAGGUGCCCUAGAAUACUAUUUCACAAGAUGUAGUAUAAGUCUAAGGUGUCCCCAGAAUGUGUCUGUGAAGUUUCAGCUCAAAAUACCCCAUAGAUUUUUUAUGACACCAUGUUUUAACUGCCUGUUUUGGAGUGUGAUUAAAAAUGCGCAGAUUCAGUGCGUGUACACCUUUAAAUGCUCGUGCUCCCCGCCCCCAAGCUCACGACUCUCAUUUAUACAGAGCAUAAACAAUAGAAUAAGUUCACACAGCUAAUAUAACUCUCAAAAUGGAUCUUUACAAAGUGUUUGUGAUGCAGCAUAUCAGAUCACAUGAAUAGAUUUACUAUCCUCUCCUCUGAGGAGAAGAGCUGGACUGAGAGCAGAUACUGUACAGAGAGAGGAACAGAUCUGACCAUCAUAAACAACAGAGAGGAACAAGUUAAAAAGAAGAAAUGUCUGAUGGUAUUUAUGACGAUGUGGUCAGGACAGAGCCUGAGGGAAUGAACAGAGAGCGAGUGGAGAUGAUGGUGGAAAUCUAUGAGGGUGCAGAUUGUGUGAGAGAUCAUGACUUCAGGACAAACACAC
Molecule: long non-coding RNA, 1125 nt
Organism: Ctenopharyngodon idella (grass carp)
Lineage: Eukaryota; Metazoa; Chordata; Actinopteri; Cypriniformes; Xenocyprididae
Exons: 3
Source: RefSeq, a predicted model, not a curated record